GGGAAUGUGGCUCAGUGGUAGAGUGCUUGCCUGGCAUGCAUGAAGCCCUGGGUUCCAUUCCUC
RNAcentral lists this transfer RNA (63 nucleotides) under Dipodomys ordii (Ord's kangaroo rat). It matches the Rfam family "tRNA", at positions 1 to 62 of the family's 71-position model. Rfam says of the family: Transfer RNA (tRNA) molecules are approximately 80 nucleotides in length. The record is from Rfam by way of RNAcentral. Lineage: Eukaryota; Metazoa; Chordata; Mammalia; Rodentia; Heteromyidae.